GCAUGGGUUUGGAUUCAUGGCAGGCCUGUUGCCCUGGGCCUGUCAUGGUGUCCCGUGCUAGAGCAACUUGUGGCCCCGAACCAUUGCCUGGCCUCUGCCUGUAUACUCUUCCAAAGAUUGUCUUAGAUUU
This 130-nucleotide small nucleolar RNA is filed under the name Neotoma lepida (desert woodrat). RNAcentral describes it as "Small nucleolar RNA SNORA42/SNORA80 family". It matches the Rfam family "Small nucleolar RNA SNORA42/SNORA80 family". From Rfam's summary of the family: The members of this family belong to the H/ACA class of snoRNAs that guide the sites of modification of uridines to pseudouridines. Human ACA42 (SNORA42) was cloned from HeLa cells by immunoprecipitation with anti-GAR1 antibody. Lineage: Eukaryota; Metazoa; Chordata; Mammalia; Rodentia; Cricetidae. The record is from Rfam by way of RNAcentral.